Molecule: unclassified non-coding RNA, 334 nt
Filed under: soil metagenome
Description: partial contains 5.8S ribosomal RNA, internal transcribed spacer 2, and large subunit ribosomal RNA
Rfam family: 5.8S ribosomal RNA (bases 1-120)
Source: RNAcentral
GAUGAAGAACGUAGCGAAAUGCGAUAAGUAAUGUGAAUUGCAGAAUUCAGUGAAUCAUCGAAUCUUUGAACGCACAUUGCGCCCGCCAGUAUUCUGGCGGGCAUGCCUGUUCGAGCGUCAUUUCAACCAUCAAGCCCCCGGCUUGUGUUGGGGACCUGCGGCUGCCGCAGGCCCUGAAAACCAGUGGCGGGCUCGCUAGUCACUCCGAGCGUAGUAAUACAUCUCGUUCAGGGCGUGCUGCGGGUUCCGGCCGUUAAAAGCCUUAUUUACCCAAGGUUGACCUCGGAUCAGGUAGGAAGACCCGCUGAACUUAAGCAUAUCAAUAAGCGGAGGA